Long non-coding RNA from Anopheles darlingi, 553 nucleotides. RefSeq lists it as uncharacterized. The record is from RefSeq and is a predicted model, not a curated record. The transcript has 2 exons. Lineage: Eukaryota; Metazoa; Arthropoda; Insecta; Diptera; Culicidae.
AAAAACAAAAACAUUUCCCAACAUCUCGCGGUAGCACAAAAUGCUAGCUAGUUUUCCCAGUUUUCUGAACAAUUUAGAAUGAGAUACGGUCGUUCGAGAUUCAUUGAAUACUUCCUUGUGGCAGUGUUUGGAGUAGGAGGUGGGUUUUACGUCUUUCAACCAGCUUUCCGGCAGUACCAACAAGAUCAAACUUCUCCGCCGUCUGCACCGAAAGCGGAAGGAACCAGCGAACAGCGUUAAACAUUCGGAACGGAUAAAAAUCUCCUUGCAGGAUGUCGUUGGCCACGUUUGCUCGCAUGUACCAUAUGCUGAAAGGAUCUCCGGUAGCCGUCGUCGGCGGAACGAUACUGAUAACGGGAUCUUUGCUCUACACCUACCGGGCUAUUUAUCGGCCUUUCGUGGUUCGUAGGGAGCGAGCCGAGGCAGAGGCCAUGGCCGACUACAUUUUCCGAAUGGAGCAGUCCAGGGAACAACGGUAGUCGACGCAAGGUUCUACACCAUAGCCAAUAAAUUAUCAAAUUAUCGUAUAAGCUGUUGUGCUGUCUUUCAUUUA